UGACGGGUAACGGGGAAUUAGGGUUCGAUUCCGGAGAGGGAGCCUGAGAAACGGCUACCACAUCUAAGGAAGGCAGCAGGCGCGCAAAUUACCCAAUCCUAAUACAGGGAGGUAGUGACAAGAAAUAACAAUACAGGACUUAAUUGUUUUGUAAUUGGAAUGAGUUAAGUAUAAACCCCUUUACAAGUAUCAAUUGGAGGGCAAGUCUGGUGCCAGCAGCCGCGGUAAUUCCAGCUCCAAUAGCGUAUAUUAAAGUUGUUGCAGUUAAAAAGCUCGUAGUUGGAUUUCUGUUAAUAUUUUAUAUUAUUAAUUUAUUAUUAUUAAUAUAAUAUUAACAUAAUUCAUAUUACUUUUUUUGAGUAUAUGAAAUUUUACUUUGAGAAAAUUAGAGUGCUUAAAGCAGGCAUUUGCCUUGAAUACUCCAGCAUGGAAUAAUAUUAAAGAUUUUUAUCUUUCUUAUUGGUUCUAAGAUAGAAAUAAUGAUUAAUAGGG
RNAcentral lists this ribosomal RNA (492 nucleotides) under Cryptosporidium sp. RNAcentral describes it as "SSU rRNA". It matches the Rfam family "Eukaryotic small subunit ribosomal RNA", at positions 353 to 877 of the family's 1831-position model. Lineage: Eukaryota; Apicomplexa; Conoidasida; Eucoccidiorida; Cryptosporidiidae. The record is from RNAcentral.